RNAcentral lists this ribosomal RNA (198 nucleotides) under uncultured bacterium. Its description in RNAcentral is "partial 16S ribosomal RNA". It matches the Rfam family "Bacterial small subunit ribosomal RNA", at positions 328 to 539 of the family's 1533-position model. The record is from RNAcentral.
ACGCUCGACACCUACGGAGGCAGCAGUGGGGAAUAUUGCACAAUGGGGGAAACCCUGAUGCAGCGACGCCGCGUGAGCGAAGAAGUAUUUCGGUAUGUAAAGCUCUAUCAGCAGGGAAGAUAAUGACGGUACCUGACUAAGAAGCUCCGGCUAAAUACGUGCCGAGUAGCCGCGGUAAUCUGAGCGGGCUGGCAAGGC